GAUGAACGCUGGCGGCGUGCCUAAUACAUGCAAGUCGAGCGAACAGACGAGGAGCUUGCUCCUCUGACGUUAGCGGCGGACGGGUGAGUAACACGUGGAUAACCUACCUAUAAGACUGGGAUAACUUCGGGAAACCGGAGCUAAUACCGGAUAAUAUAUUGAACCGCGGGGUUCAAUAGUGAAAGACGGUUUUGCUGUCACUUAUAGAUGGAUCCGCGCCGCAUUAGCUAGUUGGUAAGGUAACGGCUUACCAAGGCAACGAUGCGUAGCCGACCUGAGAGGGUGAUCGGCCACACUGGAACUGAGACACGGUCCAGACUCCUACGGGAGGCAGCAGUAGGGAAUCUUCCGCAAUGGGCGAAAGCCUGACGGAGCAACGCCGCGUGAGUGAUGAAGGUCUUCGGAUCGUAAAACUCUGUUAUUAGGGAAGAACAAAUGUGUAAGUAACUAUGCACGUCUUGACGGUACCUAAUCAGAAAGCCACGGCUAACUACGUG
This 497-nucleotide ribosomal RNA is filed under the name uncultured bacterium. Its description in RNAcentral is "partial 16S ribosomal RNA". It matches the Rfam family "Bacterial small subunit ribosomal RNA", at positions 28 to 507 of the family's 1533-position model. The record is from RNAcentral.